AUGGGCUGCGCGCAAGCCAAGCCGUCCCAGGGCUCCCCCGCCCGCAGCCACGACCGCGGCAUCGACCACCUCAUGCGCUGCAACGGCUACACGCCCGCCGCCGCCCGCCGCCUCACCGACCCCCUUCCCACCACCGCCGCCGUCGCCGUCGCGAGGGACCAGGCCGACGCCAAGGAUGGCGGUCCUGCGGGGACGGAGACCACGGAUGCCUCGGGGACGUCGAACCUGACGGCGGCCACGGUUUCCUCUCCGUCGCUGUCGAUGCCGCCGCAGGCGCCGGCGCCGCGGCGGGAGGACGACCGCGAGCAGCUGGUUGACGGGUGGCCGACGUGGCUGCUGGAGAACGUGCCGCGCGAGGCGCUGCAGGGGAUCGUGCCCCGGAGCGCCGACGCGUUCGACAAGAUCGAGAAGGUCGGGCAGGGCACGUACAGCAACGUGUACAAGGCCCGCGAGCGCGGCGCCGACGGCCGGCUCGUCGCGCUGAAGAAGGUCCGGCUCGACACCAUGGAGCCGGAGAGCGUCAAGUUCAUGGCCCGGGAGAUGCGCAUCCUCCGCCGGCUCGACCACCCCAACAUCAUCCGCCUCGACGGCAUCGCCACCUCCCGCAUGCACCGCAGCAUCUACCUCGUCUUCGACUUCAUGUACUCCGACCUCGCCCGCCUCAUCGCCCGCCCUCUCACCCUGCCACAGAUCAAGUGCUACAUGCAGCAGCUGCUGAUGGGGCUGCAGCACUGCCACGAGCGCAACAUCCUGCACCGGGACAUCAAGGGCUCCAACCUGCUGAUCGACCGCGCCGGCGUGCUCAAGAUCGGCGACCUGGGCCUGGCCAACUACUUCGGGCCCGGGCGGCGCCGCCCGCUGACAAGCCGCGUGGUCACCCUCUGGUACCGCGCGCCGGAGCUGCUGCUAGGCGCAACCGACUACGGCGUGGGCAUCGACCUCUGGAGCGCCGGCUGCCUGCUGGCCGAGAUGUUCUCUGGCAAGCCGCUGAUGCCCGGCAGGACGGAGGUGGAGCAGCUCUUCAAGAUCUUCAGCCUCUGCGGGUCGCCGCCCGACGAGUACUGGCGGAGGAUGAAGCUCCCGGCCACCAUCCGCCCGCCCAAGACGUACAAGUCGACGAUGGCGGAGAAGUUCGCCGGCAUGCCGCCGUCGGCGCUCCCCCUGCUGACCACGCUCCUCGCCCUCGACCCCGCAGCCCGCGGCACCGCCGCCCAGGCUCUCCAGAGCGACUUCUUCAGCACGCCGCCGUUGGCCUGCGACGUCGCCGACCUCCCCGUCGUGUACAAGGAGGAGGCUGCUGAUCCGACCACCCCCCGCGACGGAAGGAAGUCCAAGCCGAGGCAGCGUUCCCAGAAGCGAAGGAACAGCGGCAAGCAGAGAGCUGAUCGGGAGCUCUCCAAUGGCGAAUCUCCAAAUCCAAACAAAGAGGAGGAGAACAGGGCCGAGCCUCUGUGCCUAACUAUAAAAUUGGGCCCACCAUUAGAAGAACGACGUCCGGCAUCAAGAGACGCACAGGGCCUGGCCGAGAGCGCCAUCGUCAGGGCCUCCACCAGCACGACCUCACAACGGUUUUCAGUGAGCCCAAUUCGGUCGUUCCUACCUGCGGAUGAGCCGCAGCUGCGGAGGGCCAACACCUACCACGCCACCGGCGACGAGCACAAGGGCGGCGCCAUCGCGCACCGCGGCGUGGCGAUCAGAUCAGCGACGUGA
RNAcentral lists this ribosomal RNA (1710 nucleotides) under Triticum aestivum (bread wheat). RNAcentral describes it as "partial small subunit ribosomal RNA". The record is from RNAcentral. Lineage: Eukaryota; Viridiplantae; Streptophyta; Magnoliopsida; Poales; Poaceae.